This 251-nucleotide ribosomal RNA is filed under the name uncultured bacterium. RNAcentral describes it as "partial 16S ribosomal RNA". It matches the Rfam family "Bacterial small subunit ribosomal RNA", at positions 524 to 776 of the family's 1533-position model. The record is from RNAcentral.
UACGAAGGGGCUAGCGUUGCUCGGAAUCACUGGGCGUAAGGGCGCGUAGGCGGCGUUUUAAGUCGGGGUGAAAGCCUGUGGCUCAACCACAGAAUUGCCUUCGAUACUGGGACGCUUGGAGUGUGGUAGAGGUUGGUGGAACUGCGAGUGUAGAGGUGAAAUUCGUAGAUAUUCGGCAAGAACACCGGUGGCGAAGGCGGCCAACUGGACCAUCACUGACGCGAGGCGCGAAAGCGUGGGGAGCAAACAGG